This is a long non-coding RNA of Humulus lupulus (European hop), 1257 nucleotides long. RefSeq lists it as uncharacterized. Lineage: Eukaryota; Viridiplantae; Streptophyta; Magnoliopsida; Rosales; Cannabaceae. The record is from RefSeq and is a predicted model, not a curated record. The transcript has 3 exons.
ACUCGGUCUCUAGGGUUUCUUCAUUUCUGGUUUAGUUACAAGUACAUCUUCUUCUUCUUCUUCUUAGGUUGCCUGAGAUUCUCAUGUUUCGAAAAUGGAGUGUUCGAUUAUGGAGCCCGACCUUCCCCUACACGCGCUGGCUAGGGAUCUUCAGAGGCCGUCGAUGGGCCCAAGCCCUCACACGACACCAGAGGUGAACGACGACAUCGGAGACCAGCUAGCUCCAUCAGACUUCAGUUCAGUCAUUCUUCGUCGCCCAGGGUUUCUUGACUGCCUUUCUCUUUCUCUCACUCAGGGUUUCUCCAAUUUGUGUCCCUCUCUCAAUUACAGUAAGCUUUUUUUUUAAUAUCCAUUUUUGUAUUUAUGGGGUAUUUUUAUGCUCCGAUCACUCUGUUGUGCUCAUAAUUUAUUGUGUUUUUUUUUUCCGGUCUCACUUCAUUACAAAUAUGGUUGGAAAAAGUUGAUUUAGGGCUUGAAAGCUGCGCAAGAUGGAGUUUCUAAGCAGAAAAAACUGACAAGUGCAUUUGAUAAUGAAUGUAUGAAACUGCGGCAAACUAGUGAACAUGAGGCUCCACAAGAGGUUGCAGGAGCUAGUAACAUAGAUCUACUCCAUCCUUCCACCAUGCCAGUGACAUCAACUGUUCAAACACCACUGUUGUUUAGAGGCACCCUUAAAGAAUAUCAUCUGAAAGGUCUUCAGUGGCUGGUCAAUUGUUAUGAGCAGGUUGAUAAAUGCAACACAUAUUUAAAUUAUACAUAUAAUUUCUCCUUUCUGUUUUUUAUUUUUCUUCUUUUUCCGACUGUUUAUUUGGGAAGUUUUGUCAUUUGUAGGGUUUGAAUGGCAUUCUUGCUGAUGAGAUGGGCCUCGGAAAAACCAUUAAGGUUAUGGAAUUUUUGGCUCAUCUAGCGGAAGUAAUUACUUAGCUUGGUGUCUGGCUUUUCUUUGGUGUAACUUGGGAUUCUAACUUUAAUUUUUUAAAUUUCUAUUUUUAAUUCAGGAUAAAAAUAUAUGGGGACUUUUUCUUGUUGUUGCUCCUGCAUCUGUAUUGAACAACUGGGCAGAUGAAAUUACCCGCUUUUGCCCUGACUUGAAAACUCUUCCAUAUUGGGGUGGGCUUCCGGACCGUACAGUUCUGAGGAAAAAAAUCAACCCGAAGACACUAUACCGCAGGGAUGCUGGGUUUCACAUUCUUAUCACUAGCUAUCAGCUACUUGUUUCUGAUGAGAAGUACUUUCGGCAGGUGAAAUGGCAAUAUA